Molecule: ribosomal RNA, 777 nt
Filed under: uncultured bacterium
Lineage: Bacteria
Description: bacterial SSU rRNA
Rfam family: Bacterial small subunit ribosomal RNA
Source: RNAcentral
GAUGAGAGUUUGAUCCUGGCUCAGAUUGAACGCUGGCGGCAGGCUUAACACAUGCAAGUCGAGCGGAGAUGAGGUGCUUGCACCUUAUCUUAGCGGCGGACGGGUGAGUAAUGCUUAGGAAUCUGCCUAUUAGUGGGGGACAACAUUCCGAAAGGGAUGCUAAUACCGCAUACGUCCUACGGGAGAAAGCAGGGGAUCUUCGGACCUUGCGCUAAUAGAUGAGCCUAAGUCGGAUUAGCUAGUUGGUGGGGUAAAGGCCUACCAAGGCGACGAUCUGUAGCGGGUCUGAGAGGAUGAUCCGCCACACUGGGACUGAGACACGGCCCAGACUCCUACGGGAGGCAGCAGUGGGGAAUAUUGGACAAUGGGGGGAACCCUGAUCCAGCCAUGCCGCGUGUGUGAAGAAGGCCUUAUGGUUGUAAAGCACUUUAAGCGAGGAGGAGGCUACUGAGACUAAUACUCUUGGAUAGUGGACGUUACUCGCAGAAUAAGCACCGGCUAACUCUGUGCCAGCAGCCGCGGUAAUACAGAGGGUGCGAGCGUUAAUCGGAUUUACUGGGCGUAAAGCGUGCGUAGGCGGCUUUUUAAGUCGGAUGUGAAAUCCCCGAGCUUAACUUGGGAAUUGCAUUCGAUACUGGGAAGCUAGAGUAUGGGAGAGGAUGGUAGAAUUCCAGGUGUAGCGGUGAAAUGCGUAGAGAUCUGGAGGAAUACCGAUGGCGAAAGCAGCCAUCUGGCCUAAUACUGACGCUGAGGUACGAAAGCAUGGGGAGCAAACAG